UGAUGGUCUGCCUUGAUGACUUAUGGGGACACCUGUCGGGGGUUCUGCUAGACAGAAAGAUGCAGGGCGCCCCUCACGCACGCAAACUCUAGCUCUCACACCCAGACGUGCUCCAAACAUUCCAAAGGAGCCAAAAACGACGUCUGGCUUUUCCGCGGCGCCUCCUGGCCCUGGCGGUGACUCCGAGGUGGCGCUUUCAGGGUGGGCGCGAGGGAGAGGAAAGCCCCUGGCAUCCUCACCCCCAGGGCCAGAGGGACAGCGGGUGCCCUCCGCCCCGAGUCACCUGCGUCUUGAAUUCUGGCCCUCCAAGGAGAGGGCAAUGCCUGAGCCCACGGAAGUUGGGUCAGGGGCAGCAUUGGAAGUCAGAGCCUGCAAUGCUCACGUAAAUGCAAAAGAUGGUUCCUUCAGUGCCAGUAAGAAGGGUGUCUUGAACAUGAGGAAUACAGCAGCAAGCAAGACAGAGAGGUGCCUGCUUUCUGGGGAGACAACAAACAGAUAAAUAAGCACGACACUGUCCUGCCAAGCUAAGUGACAUCAAUGAAACAAGGCAAGGUAAUAAGAAGAGGCUGGGAAAAGGCUUAGCUGUGAUUUUGCUUUCUGCAGUUUGAGUUGCCUAUGUUCAACCGAGGUUCAAAAAUAUUAAAUGGAACAUUUCAGAAAUGAACAAUCCUAAGUUUAAAUUGCAUGCCAUUCUGAGCAGCGUGAUGAUAUCUUGCGCCAUCUCUCCCAGUCCUGCCCCGGGGAUGAAUCAUCCCUUUGUCCAGCCUGUCCACACUGUACAUGCUCCAGGCCCGUUAGUUACUUAGUAGCCAUCUCAGUUUUUCGGAUGACGUCGAGGCAUGGCAGGGUUUGUGUUCAAAGUCACCCUUAUUUUACUUAACAAUAGCUUCAAAUCACAAGCAUAGUGAUGCUGGCAAUUUGGAUAUGCCAAAGAGAAGCUACAAGGUGCUUUAAGGGGAAAAGUGAAAGUUGUGGACUUAAUUAGCAACCUUAGCUGAGGUUGCUAAGAUCUGUGAUAACAAGGAAGCUUUGAUUCAUGAAAUUGUGAAGAUGGAAAAAAGAAAUAUAUGCUAGUUUUGCUGUCACACCUCGGACUGCAAAGUAAUGGCCAUGGUGCGUGAUAAGAGCUUAGUUAAGAUGGAAAAGGCAUUAAUUCUGUGGAUAAAAACAUGAAGAGAAAUGUGUUCUGAUUGAUGGCAAUAAGGAUCAGUAUUAUCCGUGGUCCCAGGCAUGCAUUGGAGGUGUUGGAAUGUAUCCCCCAUGGAUAAGGAGAGACUAUUGUAUCCUUGAUUGGGGCAUUGCUACAUGGAUGUAUACAUUUGGCCCAACUCUCCAAACUGAACACUUAAGAUAGGUGUGUUUCAUUGUACGCACAUUUUUCAACAAAAAUCUUUUCUAUAUAAGAAGAAUAGCUGGGAAAGGAAGACAUUAACUAGGGUGAUCAGGAUGGUCUCUUUGCAAAGGGGACAUUUGAGCUGAGACCUGAAAAGUGAGAAUGAACUAGAAGGAGUUAGCCACGCCAGGAUCUUGUCUCUUCCUACCAAGAUGCUGCAGGCAGAGGAAACGCUGCAUUGGAAGGGCCCCCGGUGAGAACGCAAUGAGGGCAUGGGGAGACCGUUGUGAGGAAAGGGAGCAGGAGGGCAGGUACCUUGGAGUUGACAGCCAUGUGCUCAGAGGAGAAUGAAGCAAACCAAGCAAAAGCCAACCCCAAACACCCAAUGGCCUGAGCUCCUCAGAGCAAGAAAAGUCAAGUUGAAUAUCUCAGAUGGGGCCGUCAGAGAAUGGAGAUGACCUCAUCCACAGUGGGACAAGUUGGAGCAAAUCACUUGGGUGGAAAGCAAGGAAAUAGAGGGGCAAUUUCAGCAUGUCCCUCAGGCUUCCACAGAGGAAGGUUUGGCCUUCCAAA
Molecule: long non-coding RNA, 1906 nt
Filed under: Pan troglodytes (chimpanzee)
Lineage: Eukaryota; Metazoa; Chordata; Mammalia; Primates; Hominidae
Description: long non-coding RNA NONPTRT008842
Source: RNAcentral